GAAACACAAUGGAUUUACAUCCCAGACACAUUCACACCCAGCCAAGAGCAGCUGCUGCUACAAAACCUAGUCACGGACUUGCGCGCUCUCUCUCUCUCUCUCUCUCCCUCUCUCAGAUCGGGUGAGAAUAGAAGCUUAGAGGGGAG
Dipodomys ordii (Ord's kangaroo rat) is the source of this 146-nucleotide non-coding RNA. The record is from Rfam. NCBI's taxonomy places the organism in Eukaryota, Metazoa, Chordata, Mammalia, Rodentia, Heteromyidae.